UGGAACUGGGCGUGGGAGAGCGAAGAGGAGAAAUGGUGGUUUGUACCUGCUCCGUGCAAAUGCCAGACCCAGAACACACUGGCUCUGUACAAAAUAACCCAGAAGGCCAAUUAUCUACCUCAACUUCCUUCUUUAAGGCAGACGAGAAAGACCCAAAGAGACGGGACGCAAAUACUCCUUGACAUCUUUUCAAGACCCUGCAAAGCGCUGGAGCGCUCGCUUCUGAACCGCAUCUGCUUUCUAUUCCGCCCGAGUCUUGCUGCUAGGAGGCCGGGCAGGGAGGGGCUCCAGCGGCAAUCCAGGGGCUGGUUUGCGUCAAGUUCACCAUGUAGAAAAAGAGGGAUUUGCUUUUCCCUGCAAGGAGAAUCUGUGCUUCUGAAGCUACAGGGGAAAUACAGAAGUCUGCUUUUUCUGUGUCCCUUUCUCUCUGGAUCUUUCUUCCUGUGGUCUUCUCCCUGCCCAGGAGUUAAGAAUGGCUUCACUUUUGCUAAUGCCACUAAUUUAAAGCCUUUUCACUCCCGGUGGCGAAUAUCUGCUAGCACUGUUUUCUCUGAGGGAGACUACUCAUGUGUCAGUCAAAAGUGCCUUUCAUUCACGAAUCCCGUAAACAAUUAAAUGCAUAGCAUGCUAGGCCGUGGAAACCUUUCUGGCGACUUAAGUGAAGCUUCCUAAUCCUCUGUCUCAGAGAGCCAGGCCCCAGCACUAUGGCCCAUUCAUGGGCUGCUGCUCCUUAAGCACUUUGAUCUCGGACUUGAUUACAGCUCAUUUCAUCAUCAAGGAUGAUCUGAAUUCAUGAGCUCUUCCCUUCCUAAUAACAGCCACUCCGAUCCAUCCUCAGAAGCAACCCUGGCCCGAGGGAAACUGGUUGCAACCAAAGGCAAAAGAAUAAUGGGCUACCUUCAAACACAAGUGAAAAAUGGCGUUUUUAUUAGCCAAAUGAACCUUUGAAUGAAAUGCCUCAUAAAACAGAAAAGUCUCAUUUUUCACGGCACUGUUAAAUCCACCAAUUGCCACUCAGAGAUUAGUAGGUGUGAUUAUUUCUUUUUCUCCCCCAGAGAGAAAGUCUGAGGUAGAGAGGAAACUGAAAAUACCUGCUACACCAAAGCGAGCACACUAUUGAGCCCAUGACCACUGAUCCUGAAACCCACCAUAUUUUUUUGGAGUAGAGUGGGCUGCUUUUCAAGACACCCUCCCCCUUUUUAUUUACUGUUAUUUUUUAAGACUUUGUUUUAUUAUUUGAGAGAGAGAGAGAGAGAGAGAGAGAGAGAGAGAGAGAGAGCAGUUGCCCAGAGACCAGAGAUAUUGAUCCAACUAGAGUUUAGGACAAUUGUGAGCCACCCAAUGUAGGUGCCGUGAAUUGAACUUGGGUCCUCUGAAAGACCAGCAAGUAUAACCCAUUUUAUUUAUUUAUUUUUUCUUUUCUUUUUUUUUCCGGAGCUGGGGACCGAACCCAGGGCCUUGCUCUUGCUAGGCAAGCGCUCUACCACUGAGCUAAAUCCCCAACCUCUAGUAUAACCCAUUUUAAAACUGCCUUCAAGACCAGCAAGAGUAACCCUGCCUUUAAGAAAACGUGGAAUUUAAUUUGGAUUCAGUCAAUAUCCUUAUCAUUUCUAAGGCUGGCAAACAAAAACUGAUACAAAUAAUUGGAAGACAAUAAGAACCAAAACAAUGCCAAACACCGGAAGACAGGACAGGGUAAGGCGGACAAGUCCCUGCCUCACCAUUAGCAGCCUUGCCUGUAAUUAUAUUUUACUCGGGCUUAAACUGGGGAAAGCACAAAGGAGACACUAUUAAAGCGUUAGUGCCCACUAAAGAAAGCCCAUUCUGUGCUUUGGCAAGUUCUGUGCACCAGACUUCGCUCCAUAAGCCUGCAGACCGCUUUCAUGUUGCACCAAUGCCACAGAAAGAAAGAAGAAAGUGCAGGUGGGGGUCCUGCAAAGACACUCCCUGCAGUUGCUCAUUUCUCCCUGUUGCUAACCUCAGCCCCUCCUCACCACACCUGGGAUGCUGAUCUCCACCCUUUGCCACUCCAGCCUUUUAAUGUACAUGGCACACACCAGCAGGCUGCCUCUGACUGAACAUCGAGGGACAGAGGGAGGUGCUUCUGCCCCUUGAGAAGAACAGGUGUGAGGUGAGAAUGCCUCUCUCAGAACACCUGAGUGGACGAGGACUUUGCAGAUUUCAAAGGAAAAGAGGGUUGACUCCUUCCACAGAACCACAAACUUCCAAAUAACUAUCCCCACUGUGUCACCUCCUGUUGGCACAUCUGCAAGAGGACUAAUGUGCAAAGUAAUCCUGGGAAAGUCUCCAGGAUCCCUGAGUGUUUCUGCUAAAAUAACUGAUUAGAUCUGAGAUUUCUUUACCACAUAAAGAUGACUGAGGGCUGGCGGAUGUGAGCAGCCUUUUGGUCCAGUUCUACACGCAUGCACACACAUAUACAUACAUACACACAUACAUACAUGUAUAUACAUAUGCGUACAUAUGCAUACAUACACACAUGAACACACAUAUACACACAUACACAUACAUACACACAUAUGUUCAUACAUAUGCAUACAUAUACACACAUGAACACACACAUAUACACACAUGAACAUACACAUAUACACACAUAUAUGUACAUGCCUACACAUACAUAUACGUUGCAUGGUGGUUUUUGUGCAUAUGUAUGUUAUAAGUGUGUGUUUGUGUGUAUGUGCGA
RNAcentral lists this long non-coding RNA (2701 nucleotides) under Rattus norvegicus (Norway rat). RNAcentral's name for it is "long non-coding RNA NONRATT032766". Lineage: Eukaryota; Metazoa; Chordata; Mammalia; Rodentia; Muridae. The record is from RNAcentral.